Astyanax mexicanus (Mexican tetra) is the source of this 2419-nucleotide long non-coding RNA. RefSeq lists it as uncharacterized. The record is from RefSeq and is a predicted model, not a curated record. The transcript has 2 exons. Lineage: Eukaryota; Metazoa; Chordata; Actinopteri; Characiformes; Acestrorhamphidae.
CGACAGAACACCGGCAGCAGGACAUGAACGGAGCCCGGCUGGUUUAAACGGGCAUGUCUUUAUACGCAGGACCUGCUGAUGUCUCGAUGUCUUGCUGCUGUGGGCUGAUGUACUGAUGAAGCUGUCUAUACCCGAAUCUCCUCCGCCGAGGAUGAAUGUUUUCCCACUCUAAGUCUUCUCCUGCCCCUAGUGUGGACUUUGCUUCUCCACAAACAACCAGUCAGAGGAUUACAUAAAGAACAGUUUUAAACUCCUGAAAGAGGUUGAUCACAAGAUAUCCAAAAGAUAAGAAAUUAUGAAGCCAAGUCCAGGAAAGGAGAAAACUCAUCACUGUUUAGAUUGUGGAAAAAGCUUUACUAUACAAAACGAUCUUAAAAAACACCGGCGUAUUCACACAGGAGAGAAACCGUAUCUCUGUUCGGACUGUGGGAAGAGUUUUACUUUACAAAGUACUCUUAAAACACACCAGCGCAUUCACACAGGAGAGAAACCUUUUCACUGUUCAGACUGUAAGAAGAGUUUUGCUCAACAGUGUGUCCUCAGAAAACACCAGCGCAUUCACACUGGAGAGAAACCGUAUCACUGUUCAGACUGUGAGAAGAGUUUUAAUCAGCUGUGUACUCUCCAAGUACACCAGCGCAGUCACACAAAAGUGAAACCAUAUUACUGCUCAGAGUGUAAGAAAUAUUUUAUUACACAGAGUGAGCUCAACAAACACCAGCGCAUUCACACUGCAGAGAAACCAUAUUACUGCUCAGACUGUGGCAAGAGUUUUAUUCAGAGAAGUGGUCUAAAAACACACCAGCGCAUUCACACAGGAGAGAAACCGUAUGACUGCUCAGAGUGUGGCAGGACUUUUACUCAAAAGAGUGGUCUAAUAAACCACCAGCGCAUUCACACAGGAGAGAAACCAUUUCACUGCUUAGACUGCAUGAAGAGUUUUAAAUUACUGUGUACUCUCCAAGUACACCGGCGCAUUCACACAGGCGUGAAACCAUAUCACUGCUCAGAAUGUGAGAAGAGCUUUCGGCAUUCAAAUUCAUUUAAGGGACACAAGUGCACUGAGAGCAGUAACAGAAAUUUGCAAUAACACUUCUUUAACCAUCUUAGGUCACAGAUCUGGGGCCCACACAAAGAGCAUGACAGAAAUAAUAAUCAACUAAUCUGCAAAAUAAUCCACAGAUUAGUCAACAACCAAAUUAAUAUAAGCUGUGAUAAAUUUACAGAUAGGUAAUAAUAUCAGAUAUGCAGAUCUAUAGACUGACUAGACUUAUUAAUAGGACCACAUAUUGUUAAUGUAACUUUGACAAGUCAUAUGUUUCCAUUGUUUUACACAUGAGGCUGAAGUUUGAUAUUCGCAGCUCCAGAUUUGUUUGGCUCUAUAUUUGCAGCCUCGUAUUCCCCGGCUGAAGCUGGUUUGAUUUUCGCAGCAACUGCUUCACUGAACGGAAUUACUUUUGCUGUCAGGUGGAGAAAGGCUAUUUUGGUUUCAGGGAAUAUUUAAAAUUGCAGGGUGCAAAAUCAUUUGCCACCUAUUCAUUCCUGUUGGGGGAACCAGCAAAAUCCAAUGCUAAUUACACACAUCACAAAAUUAGAUUAACAAGUCUGCAGUUUGAAUGAUGUAUGAAGUAGUGUAAGUCAAAGUGAUGACUUCAGCCUCCAAAUGGGAAAUUUGUUGUUUAACAAAAGACGGGCUCAUCACCUAGGACAGCAGAGAGCAUGAAGAUCCCUGAUUCAUUUGAUACAACUACUAUUAAAGGAAUUAAAUUAUUCUUUUAGCCAUCAACAUUCUGAUGGGCUUAAAUAUAUAUAUAUAUAUAUAUAUAUAUAUAUAUAUAUAUAUAUAUAUAUAUAUAUAUAUAUAUAUAUAUAUCAAGAUCUUUGUAAUCUCAUACAAAAAUAAGGCUUGCACAAUUCCUUGUUGGCUGUGCAUCAACCAAACAAAGAAGUGAAUAUAUAUUUACCACAAAAACAGGGCUUGCAGCUUUUGAGGUUUUUGAAGGGAAGAGCAUGGGUGGUGUUGGUGGGGGGUGUCAGCGCACAGGUGUGUGCAGGGUUGCCAGUUUAAAACUCGCCCAUCAGAAGCUUAAACUAGCCCAAAUAUGUCACACGCUUAAAUCAAUGGCUUAGUAUUUUGUUUUUAUGGAAAUUUUAUCAGUGUUGCUAUUUUUAAAUUAGCAAAAAAGACCUGACCUCUACUCUUUAACAUUUUUUUCAUCGACUUGUGAUUUCUGGUUACAUUGUGAUCUCUCUCUCUCUCUCUCUCUCUCUCUACCUUUCCCUUUAUCUUUUCCAUUUGAGGCCUUCAGUACAGGGGUAAGGGAAGGCCUUGUAAAAUGAAGGGAGUAAUGGUCUAUUAGUAUGUCUGUGUAUUUUUUUUGUUUGGCAAGUACCCAGUAAAGAACGAGAUCAAAACAAA